UACGUAGGGUGCGAGCGUUAAUCGGAAUUACUGGGCGUAAAGCGUGCGCAGGCGGUUUUGUAAGCCAGAUGUGAAAUCCCCGGGCUCAACCUGGGAAUGGCAUUUGGGACUGCAAGGCUGGAGUGUGGCAGAGGAGACUGGAAUUCCUGGUGUAGCAGUGAAAUGCGUAGAUAUCAGGAGGAACACCGGUGGCGAAGGCGGCUACCUGGCCCAACAUUGACGCUGAGACCCGAAAGCGUGGGGAUCAAACAGG
RNAcentral lists this ribosomal RNA (253 nucleotides) under uncultured bacterium. Its description in RNAcentral is "partial 16S ribosomal RNA". It matches the Rfam family "Bacterial small subunit ribosomal RNA", at positions 524 to 776 of the family's 1533-position model. The record is from RNAcentral.